AUGGCGGCGGUUGCGGGCGUCACCGGGAGCUCCAGAUCCGCGGCCUGCUGCGCCGUGCUGCUCGCGGCCGUGCUGUUCCUCUCCGCACCGGCCACCACAGAGGCUUAUGAUUCGCUGGAUCCAUAUGGCAACAUCACGAUAAAAUGGGACAUCAUUUCGUGGACUCCGGAUGGUUAUGUGGCAACAGUCACAAUUACCAACUACCAGCAGUUCCGAACCAUAUCUGCACCCGGGUGGCGGCUGGGGUGGUCGUGGCGAAAGAAAGAGGUCAUGGCGAUGGUGGGGGCUCGGGCAAUUAAGCGGGGCGAUUGCUCAAAAUUCAAGCGCAGCCGUCCCCAUUGCUGCAAGAGAGAUCCGACGAUUGUCGAUCUUCCUUCAGGCACCCCAUUCAACCAGCAAGUUGCCAAUUGUUGCAAGGCAGGAGUUCUAAAGACAUUUAACCAGGACCCAGGAAAUGCUGCUUCCUCCUUUCAGAUUGCUGUAGGUCUUGCUGGGACUACCAAUAGGACGGUUAUUUUGCCCAAAAAAAUCACUCUCAAGGCUCCAGGUCAGGGGUACACUUGUGGGCGUGCUCUUGUUGUCGUGCCUACCAAGUAUUCUUCCUCGGGCGGGCGCAGGGUAACCCAAGCUUUCAGAUUAGUGAAUGGAGUGAGACCAUUGAAACGAGAAGUGAUUUGUUCUUGA
Molecule: ribosomal RNA, 684 nt
Filed under: Triticum aestivum (bread wheat)
Lineage: Eukaryota; Viridiplantae; Streptophyta; Magnoliopsida; Poales; Poaceae
Description: partial small subunit ribosomal RNA
Source: RNAcentral